GACGAACGCUGGCGGCGUGCUUAACACAUGCAAGUCGAACGGAAAGGCCCUGCUUUUGUGGGAUGCUCGAGUGGCGAACGGGUGAGUCACACGUGAGUAACCUGCCCUUGACUUUGGUAUAACUUCAGGAAACUGGGGCUAAUACCGGAUUGGAGCUCCUGCUGCAUGGUGGGGGUUGGAAAGUUUCGGCGGUUGGGGAUGGACUCGCGGCUUAUCAGCUUGUUGGUGGGGUAGUGGCUUACCAAGGCAUUGACGGGUAGCCGGCCUGAGAGGGUGACCGGCCACAUUGGGACUGAGAUACGGCCCAGACUCCUACGGGAGGCAGCAGUGGGGAAUAUUGCACAAUGGGCGGAAGCCUGAUGCAGCAACGCCGCGUGCGGGAUGACGGCCUUCGGGUUGUAAACCGCUUUCGCCUGUGACGAAGCGUGAGUGACGGUAAUGGGUAAAGAAGCACCGGCUAACUACGUG
Molecule: ribosomal RNA, 468 nt
Filed under: uncultured bacterium
Lineage: Bacteria
Description: partial 16S ribosomal RNA
Rfam family: Bacterial small subunit ribosomal RNA
Source: RNAcentral